Molecule: long non-coding RNA, 467 nt
Organism: Rosa chinensis
Lineage: Eukaryota; Viridiplantae; Streptophyta; Magnoliopsida; Rosales; Rosaceae
Exons: 3
Source: RefSeq, a predicted model, not a curated record
AUUAUGAACUUAUAUGUUAUGCAUCAUAUGUAUUCAAACACCCAACUAUGGAGGCUGAUGCUAUUAUGGGGUUGGAGUACAUUCCAACUAUGGAGGAAAUGGAGUCAUAGAACAGAUUGAAGCUGACCAUGAAAAAGAGGAUAGAUAGAAAGCUGAGAAGGCCAAGAAUGCUAUUGCUGCUGCAUCUGCAUCUGCCCCAAGUGGCAAAACAACCAAGAGUUCUGAGGCUUCGGCUUCUACCCCUACAACCAAGAAGAAAAGGCAUAAAAAAUGAUGCAAUUCAUCAACAAUCAAGGAUGCAUAAAGAUUUGGUAUUGAAUCUAUUGAUGGAAGGCUGGAAGCCUUGUUGCAUUGAUGAAGAGGAACUGAGGAAGCCAUGCUGGAAAUGUUUGAUUGUUUGCAGUAAUGCACUUUGAUGAAAUAUUGAAUCAUUCAUGAACUAUUUCAAUUUUAGUUGGUUUGUUUCA